UCCAGACUCCUACGGGAGGCAGCAGUGGGGAAUAUUGCACAAUGGGGGGAAACCCUGAUGCAGCGACGCCGCGUGAAGGAUGAAGUAUUUCGGUAUGUAAACUUCUAUCAGCAGGGAAGAAAAUGACGGUACCUGACUAAGAAGCCCCGGCUAACUACGUGCCAGCAGCCGCGGUAAUACGUAGGGGGCAAGCGUUAUCCGGAUUUACUGGGUGUAAAGGGAGCGUAGACGGUAUGGCAAGUCUGAUGUGAAAACCCGGGGCUCAACCCCGGGACUGCAUUGGAAACUGUCGGACUAGAGUGUCGGAGAGGCAAGUGGAAUUCCUAGUGUAGCGGUGAAAUGCGUAGAUAUUAGGAGGAACACCAGUGGCGAAGGCGGCUUGCUGGACGAUGACUGACGUUGAGGCUCGAAAGCGUGGGGAGCAAACAGGAUUAGAUACCCGAGUACG
RNAcentral lists this ribosomal RNA (448 nucleotides) under uncultured bacterium. RNAcentral describes it as "partial 16S ribosomal RNA". It matches the Rfam family "Bacterial small subunit ribosomal RNA", at positions 330 to 793 of the family's 1533-position model. The record is from RNAcentral.